RNA transcript from Mus musculus (house mouse), 2425 nucleotides. It is a transcript of the gene named coiled-coil domain containing 196, with no coding region annotated. The record is from RefSeq and is marked validated. Lineage: Eukaryota; Metazoa; Chordata; Mammalia; Rodentia; Muridae. The transcript has 11 exons.
GUAGCUAAAAUCAGUCUAAUGCAACAGGAACUUCAAGAACAACAGCCCAAAAAUGCUAUCUUAGCUGCAUGGAGAAAGGUGGCUCAUAUUUUCAAGAAGGCUUCUUUAUUGUUAGGAGUUUCCCUUCAAAAUGACAAGUGGCACAAACUCUUCAGAAUCUGGCUUGUCCUCAAAAAAAAAUUCUAAAAUAUAUGACAACUACUUGAAAGAAAUGAAUGAGGAUUUAAAGUUAAGGAAGCAGGAGCUUCUAGAGAUGCUGAAACCUCUGGAAGAUAAGAACAAUCUCUUAUUGCAGAAGGUAAUGGCGAACUUGGAGGAAAAACAAAAGAGUCUGCAGAUAAUGAGGCAGAUCAUGGCAGGGAGGGGUUGUGACGAAUCUUCAGUCAUGGAGCUUGCUACGGCACCAGAGGAGAGGAAACAGAACCUGACAUUCGAGUCAGAAGAGCUCCGUGAUCAACAGAGAGCAUUACUAAUGAAGUCGAAGGCAGACAUGCAAGACAGAAAGGCUCAGAAAUCCCCCUUAUCACUUUGGAAGGCCAAGAGUGAGCCAGAGACAUCAGAUGUGGACAAAGUGGACGACAUCAGGAAGGAAAAGCAACAGAUGAAAAUAAAAUGGGUCAAAUAUGAGGAACAACCCAACAUCCUUCAGAAUGGCUUUCUUGACAAAGUGAUUGAGCUGAAAAUUGAAGCCUUGAGGAACUACCAGAAGACCAAUGACUUUAAAUCAUCACUGUACCUACAACACAAUUUUGAGACAAAGCAAGGAGCUUUGAAUCUUCUGAGGCCUCAAGCUCCAAGUUCCUGCCUUGAACUCCUGCUCUGAUGUCCCUUCAUGAUGAACAGUCACUGGGACAUGUAAAAUGGGUGCUACAACUAUGGAGAGAGCAACAAUCAACAGAAAUGAACAUGAUACGAGAAUCCCAGGAUCAAAGAACUACGUAGAACAACAAGGAGGAACUAGAGAAAAGUCAGUAUGAUGAUGUAGGACAGAGGCUCUUUUUUCUGAAGUCAAUGCCAGAUGAAGCUCUGAAGGUUUAGAAGGCUUUCCCUACUUUUGCUUUGGACAUAUUUGAAGACUAGCAACAUUCUUCACAAAACCAGAAAAAAAAGGAAUCAUGAAAUUCAAGUAGAAGCACAAAAGACUCUGAAUAGCCAAAGCAACUCUAAGCAGAAGGAGCAAUGCUGGAAGUGACAGGAUAUCUGACUUAGGAAGCCACAGUAACAAGUCAAUAUUGUACCAUCACAGAAACAGCCACGUAGACCAAUACAACAUUAGAGGACUCAGAAAUACGUACAAAUAUCCACAGCCACCUGAUUCUUGACAAAGGUACCCAAAGCAUAUAUUAGAAGAUAUCUCCUCAACAAAUGGGACUAUGAAGACUAGAUAUCUACAUGAAGAAGACUGAAAUGAUCACAUUCUAUACAUUCUCUGUAUAAAAACCAAUUUAAAAUGGAUCAAAGCCCUUAAUAUAAGAUGAAAGAUUGACAUGUCUGAAGAAAUCAUAAGGAAAGUACCUUAAGACACAGAAACAGGCAAUGGUUUCUAGAAUAGAAUUUCAAUAACUCAGGACAAAAUAGCAAGAAUUGAAAAAUAGAAUGUAAUUGAGUUGAGCUUCUGUACAGUAAAGGAAACAAUUACUGGAGUAAAGGACCCUGCAUGCAGAUAGGACAAAGGUAAAUUUUCCUAAAAACGAUUUUGUACGUGUGGUGUGCCGUGGAGGUCAGUUCUAGUUCUCUCUUUCUACAAUAUGUGUCCUAGGGACCAAACUCCAGUUGUUAGGCUUGGGAGCAGGUGCCAAGCUACCUCACUGAACCCUAGAAGAUUUUUUUGAAAUGUACUUUUCAACUGGAAAAGGUUUAUGAGUUCACAGAAUAUUAGCAAUUUCAGUAUAAAAUUCCUUCACUUUACAAAAGAAACUGGACUUCAGAAACUGGACUUGAAAAGUGUCUAAAGACCUAGAGUUAAUUCAAGCUAGCCCUCGUUACCAGAGUGCAGAUAUUAUCACUGCCAGCUCACACUCCAGUCUAACUCGUCUUUCCCCUCUGACUAUAAAAGAAGAGUCUCCAAAGCCCUGAGAUGAUUAGUUGCAUGUUCUGCCAACUGAGUUAGCUGAGUAUAUAUAUAUAUAAUCCACAUUCUGUUUCAAGGAAACCACCUCUUAACUUAGACCCUGAGAGACUCUGGCAGACCUGAGGUUUCUGAAACCAAUUACAUUAGACAGAGCCAUGAGAACAGAACACAAGAAUAUAAAAUCUAACUACUGCUGACUACUUUGAACUUUUCAUUUAACCUAAGGGCCUUAGACUUUUAACUUUAACACUGUAUUAAAAGAGUACCCUUUGAGUGUGUAUUAAAUUUUUUUUUACCAUUAUAAUGAAUUGAGAUUAGUAUACGAAUACCCACUUUUUUGUUAAUUGAAGUAUG